This 424-nucleotide ribosomal RNA is filed under the name uncultured bacterium. RNAcentral's name for it is "partial 16S ribosomal RNA". It matches the Rfam family "Bacterial small subunit ribosomal RNA", at positions 359 to 775 of the family's 1533-position model. The record is from RNAcentral.
GAAUCUUCCGCAAUGGACGAAAGUCUGACGGAGCAACGCCGCGUGAGUGAAGAAGGUUUUCGGAUCGUAAAACUCUGUUGUCGGAGAAGAACAAGUAGGAGAGUAACUGUUCCUACCUUGACGGUACCCGACCAGAAAGCCACGGCUAACUACGUGCCCGCAGCCGCGGUAAUACGUAGGUGGCAAGCGUUGUCCGGAUUUAUUGGGCGUAAAGCGAGCGCAGGUGGUUUCUUAAGUCUGAUGUGAAAGCCCACGGCUCAACCGUGGAAGGUCAUUGGAAACUGGGGAACUCGAAUGCAGAAGAGGAGAGUGGAAUUCCAUGUGUAGCGGUGAAAUGCGUAGAUAUAUGGAGGAACACCAGUGGCGAAGGCGACUCUCUGGUCUGUUAUUGACACUGAGGCUCGAAAGCGUGGGGAGCAAACAG